This 249-nucleotide ribosomal RNA is filed under the name uncultured prokaryote. RNAcentral describes it as "partial 16S ribosomal RNA". It matches the Rfam family "Bacterial small subunit ribosomal RNA", at positions 524 to 772 of the family's 1533-position model. The record is from RNAcentral.
UACGGAGGAUGCAAGCGUUAUCCGGAUUCAUUGGGUUUAGAGGGUGCGUAGGCGGACUAUUAAGUCAGUGGUGAAAGCCUGCAGCUUAACUGCAGAACUGCCAUUGAUACUGAUAGUCUUGAGUUUGGUUAAGGUAGGCGGAAUGUGUAAUGUAGCGGUGAAAUGCUUAGAUAUUACACAGAACACCAAUUGCGUAGGCAGCUUACUGAGCCGACACUGACGCUGAGGCACGAAAGCGUGGGGAUCGAA